AUGGGCGCUCUGAUAGAGCUCAUGAUGCCAAUAACUUGCAGAUACACCAAGGUUUAUGCAAUUGUCCAGACAUUGGUUUAUUGUGAUGUAUUGUAUACUAUGGUUCCAGCAUAUGACCAAAUGAGAGGGAUUGACAAUACAUUAUAUUUUCAUGCAAUCGCUACAAGAACAUUAUAUCGGAUCAUCUCAAUCACGUACAGUCCUACCCAACAUUUUAUGUUGCUGCAUGUUGACUACACCAGUCCGAGCCAAGCUGCAGGAGUUGUAUGGUACCUUUCUCUUCCAACGUCGCCAGACAAGUGA
Molecule: ribosomal RNA, 303 nt
Filed under: Triticum aestivum (bread wheat)
Lineage: Eukaryota; Viridiplantae; Streptophyta; Magnoliopsida; Poales; Poaceae
Description: partial small subunit ribosomal RNA
Source: RNAcentral